ACUCCUUGUCGUGGAGGCAAAUCAAGCGUCUGGUACUCACUUUUUGGAACUGAAUAUCCCGUGAACAGAAACACAUGCAGUUUUGGAUGUUAGAACACCCUAAUGACGCUCCUGCGAUGAAAAAUAAUCAUGAAAAGUUAUAAGUCAGCCAAAAGCUCUUUCCUAUGAUAGCUUGGUUGUAAUACACGUGUCUUUGCUCCCCAGCCUUGAUGCUAGAAUCACGGAGACCGACACUGGGGUGAAAAAGGGGGGGUGUUUUGAGGGGGCCGCCAAAGCUCUCAUACACCUUUGCCAGUCAUGCUCCUGACUCGUCAAUCUAUAUACCAACGC
RNAcentral lists this small RNA (330 nucleotides) under Histoplasma capsulatum var. duboisii H88. Its description in RNAcentral is "Histoplasma capsulatum H88 hypothetical RNA". Lineage: Eukaryota; Fungi; Ascomycota; Eurotiomycetes; Onygenales; Ajellomycetaceae. The record is from RNAcentral.